Molecule: ribosomal RNA, 200 nt
Filed under: uncultured prokaryote
Description: partial 16S ribosomal RNA
Rfam family: Bacterial small subunit ribosomal RNA
Source: RNAcentral
CGUCAAAUCCUCAUGGCCCUUACGUCUGGGGCCAGACACGUGCUACAAUGGUCGGUACAGCGAGCUGCAAGCCGGUGACGGCAAGCUAAUCUCUUAAAACCGUCCUCAGUUCGGAUAGGAGUCUGCAAUUCGACUCCUUGAAGCUGGAAUCGCUAGUAAUCGCGGAUCAGCAUGCCGCGGUGAAUACGUUCCCGGGCCUU